Molecule: ribosomal RNA, 198 nt
Filed under: Triticum aestivum (bread wheat)
Lineage: Eukaryota; Viridiplantae; Streptophyta; Magnoliopsida; Poales; Poaceae
Description: partial small subunit ribosomal RNA
Source: RNAcentral
AUGGCCGGGGCAGGGCUCGCGGACCAUCUCCUUCCUCCUCGCUUGGGCGCCAUGGCCACCAUCCUCGCAAGAUCCAGCCCAUCUCCUCCGCGUCCGUCGAGUGGGCGUUCCAGUGGACCCGGUCGGCGCCGUCGCUCGCCGCCGAGUUCGUGGGCGGCCCGCUCAAGCGCUGGUGGGAUUGGGGCCUCGGAUGGCUGA